UGCUUAGGGAUCUGCCUUUAGGAGGGGGAUAACCAUUGGAAACGAUGGCUAAUACCGCAUAAUGUCUACGGACCAAAGGGGGCUUCGGCUCUCACCUAGAGAGGAACCUAAGUGAGAUUAGCUAGUUGGUGAGGUAAAGGCUCACCAAGGCGACGAUCUCUAGCUGUUCUGAGAGGAAGAUCAGCCACACUGGAACUGAGACACGGUCCAGACUCCUACGGGAGGCAGCAGUGGGGAAUAUUGCACAAUGGGGGAAACCCUGAUGCAGCCAUGCCGCGUGUGUGAAGAAGGCCUUCGGUU
Molecule: ribosomal RNA, 300 nt
Filed under: uncultured Glaciecola sp.
Lineage: Bacteria; Pseudomonadati; Pseudomonadota; Gammaproteobacteria; Alteromonadales; Alteromonadaceae
Description: bacterial SSU rRNA
Rfam family: Bacterial small subunit ribosomal RNA
Source: RNAcentral